AGUGAACGCUGGCGGUAGGCCUAACACAUGCAAGUCGAACGGCAGCACAGUAAGAGCUUGCUCUUACGGGUGGCGAGUGGCGGACGGGUGAGGAAUACAUCGGAAUCUACUUUUUCGUGGGGGAUAACGUAGGGAAACUUACGCUAAUACCGCAUACGACCUACGGGUGAAAGCAGGGGAUCUUCUGACUUUGCGCCAUUGAAUGAGCCGAUGUCGGAUUAGCUAGUUGGCUGGGUAAAGGCCCACCAAGGCGACGAUCCGUAGCUCGUCUGAGAGGAUGAUCAGCCACACUGGAACUGAGACACGGUCCAGACUCCUACGGGAGGCAGCAGUGGGGAAUAUUGGACAAUGGGCGCAAGCCUGAUCCAGCCAUACCGCGUGGGUGAAGAAGGCCUUCGGGUUGUAAAGCCCUUUUGUUGGGAAAGAAAAGCAGCAGGUUAAUACCCCGCUGUUCUGACGGUACCCAAAGAAUAAGCACCGGCUAACUUCGUG
Molecule: ribosomal RNA, 492 nt
Filed under: uncultured bacterium
Lineage: Bacteria
Description: partial 16S ribosomal RNA
Rfam family: Bacterial small subunit ribosomal RNA
Source: RNAcentral